Molecule: long non-coding RNA, 293 nt
Filed under: Panax ginseng (ginseng)
Lineage: Eukaryota; Viridiplantae; Streptophyta; Magnoliopsida; Apiales; Araliaceae
Description: long non-coding RNA (PGIN_LNC005033)
Source: RNAcentral
UCCUUAAUCCUUAAUCCUUGUCAUUUUGUUUCACUGGAUUCGUUUCUUUAAAAAAAAUAUAUUUUUCAUCAUUCUCAGUUUUAAAUGAUGAUAUUAUUGAAUAUCUUUGGCCUGUAGUGCAAGGACGAAUAUAUGAUUUCAGAUAUAUAUUGAUUGAUGUUACAGGGAUAAAAAUAUUGAUGAUGGACUGUUAAAUUCAUAGAUAUUAGUAGAUUUCAUCCUCUACGUAACUCUUCUAUGAAUUAAUAUUUUUCGCUGCGAGUAUUGAUUUUAAAACUUGUUGUCUAUUGUAU